RNA transcript from Propithecus coquereli (Coquerel's sifaka), 871 nucleotides. It is a transcript of the gene named chromosome unknown open reading frame, human C11orf94, with no coding region annotated. Lineage: Eukaryota; Metazoa; Chordata; Mammalia; Primates; Indriidae. The transcript is spliced from 2 exons. The record is from RefSeq and is a predicted model, not a curated record.
UGGACCGGUGGGCAGAGAAGGGAGGAUGGGGCCCUGGACUGGAGGCAGAGGCCUGCCACGGUGGGAGGGGCUGGACUAAGGCGAUGGCAGGGGGGCUGGGGAGAUCGGGUGUAACCCACACGCCUAUGGGACUGUUGAAGAUAGGAAGAGGGUGGCGUCCAGGGGACAAGGAGCCGGAGGGAUGUGAGGGGCUUAUGGAGUUAGAGUGGACAGAAUUCCUGGUUCCCUGCUGGGGACACAGCGUGCUGAGGCAGGUUUGUGGGAGAUGAGUUGUCCCAGAGACAUACUAGGUCGGUGACCGCUGGGAGGUUAGCGUGGGGGCCUGGACGCAGGGGAGUGGACCCGGCUGAAGGAACCACCGGAACUCGGCGGCUUGGGGGAUGCUCAGGGCCAGGAGCAUGAAUGAGGCCACUCGAGGACCCAGGGCUGGAAACAAGGGACGUCCCUCUCUGGCCCUCUCAGCACUUAGAGGAGAGUGGCUAACCCACCCAGCAGGUCUGCUGUCUCUGAAUCAACUGGAUUACCAAAGCCGCAGACCCCACGGACCUGGAGCAGGGCCAGGGACUUUGUUUCCAAAGCUCGCCGUGGUUCUAAAGUGAGGAGCUGCGCUGCGUUCAUAAGUGGCCGGGUCUGGCUGCCGAGUCAGAGACCUAGGAGCCAAAGAGCCUGCCAGUGGUGGCCCCAGCUUUGCCUCAGGCCUCAGAGGGACAGCCUCCAGUGUAUCAUGUGGCAUCUGCUCACUGAGGACCUCCCGGGCACCCAGUGCUGGGGACUGCACAGUGAACAAAAGCGUCCCUGCGCUCCAGAAGCUCAUCCUCUAGGAGACUAUGGGGUCCGGCCCAAGCACCCGUGGCUACGAGGGCCCCGACCC